RNAcentral lists this transfer RNA (87 nucleotides) under Rhodospirillales bacterium. Its description in RNAcentral is "tRNA-Lys". Lineage: Bacteria; Pseudomonadati; Pseudomonadota; Alphaproteobacteria; Rhodospirillales. The record is from RNAcentral.
UGGAGAAGGUCGAGAAGGUAAAAUAAGAAUAAAGCCAGCUGCCUUUUAAGCAGCGGGUCCAAGGUUCGAGUCCUUGUGCACCCACCA